RNAcentral lists this ribosomal RNA (1289 nucleotides) under Blastococcus sp. TF02-8. RNAcentral describes it as "bacterial LSU rRNA". It matches the Rfam family "Bacterial large subunit ribosomal RNA", at positions 1666 to 2925 of the family's 2925-position model. The record is from RNAcentral. Lineage: Bacteria; Bacillati; Actinomycetota; Actinomycetes; Geodermatophilales; Geodermatophilaceae.
GUCAGGUAGAGAAUACCGAGGCGAUCGAGCGAACUGUGGUUAAGGAACUCGGCAAAAUGCCCCCGUAACUUCGGGAGAAGGGGGGCCAUCUACUGUCAACAUCCUUGCGGUGGGCAGCGGUGGGUGGCCGCAGAGACCAGUGAGAAGCGACUGUUUACUAAAAACACAGGUCCGUGCGAAGUCGUAAGACGAUGUAUACGGACUGACGCCUGCCCGGUGCUGGAACGUUAAGGGGACGGGUUAGCCGCAAGGCGAAGCUCAGAACUCAAGCGCCAGUAAACGGCGGUGGUAACUAUAACCAUCCUAAGGUAGCGAAAUUCCUUGUCGGGUAAGUUCCGACCUGCACGAAUGGCGUAACGACUUCUCAGCUGUCUCAACCACAGGCUCGGCGAAAUUGCACUACGAGUAAAGAUGCUCGUUACGCGCGGCAGGACGGAAAGACCCCGGGACCUUUACUAUAGCUUGAUAUUGGUGUUCGGUUCGGCUUGUGUAGGAUAGGUGGGAGACUGUGAAGCGGGCACGCCAGUGUUCGUGGAGUCGCCGUUGAAAUACCACUCUGGUCGAAUUGGAUGUCUAACCUCGGUCCGUGAUCCGGAUCAGGGACAGUGUCAGGUGGGUAGUUUAACUGGGGCGGUUGCCUCCCAAAAUGUAACGGAGGCGCCCAAAGGUUCCCUCAGCCUGGUUGGCAAUCAGGUGUCGAGUGCAAGUGCACAAGGGAGCUUGACUGUGAGACCGACGGGUCGAGCAGGAGCGAAAGCUGGGACUAGUGACCCGGCACCGGCAUGUGGAAGCGGUGUCGCUCAACGGAUAAAAGGUACCCCGGGGAUAACAGGCUGAUCUUCCCCAAGAGUCCAUAUCGACGGGAUGGUUUGGCACCUCGAUGUCGGCUCGUCGCAUCCUGGGGCUGGAGUAGGUCCCAAGGGUUGGGCUGUUCGCCCAUUAAAGCGGUACGCGAGCUGGGUUUAGAACGUCGUGAGACAGUUCGGUCCCUAUCCGCCGUGCGCGUAAGAGACUUGAGAAGAGCUGUCCCUAGUACGAGAGGACCGGGACGGACGAACCUCUGGUGUGCCAGUUGUACCGCCAGGUGCACUGCUGGUUAGCUACGUUCGGCAGGGAUAACCGCUGAAAGCAUCUAAGCGGGAAGCUCGCUUCAAGAUGAGGUCUCUCACCGGGUCAACCGGGUAAGGCCCCCGCCCAGACCAGCGGGUUGAUAGGCCGGAAGUGGAAGCACCGCAAGGUGUGGAGCUGACCGGUACUAACAGGCCGAGGGCUUGACCACACACAACCCA